This is a non-coding RNA of Caenorhabditis elegans, 142 nucleotides long. Lineage: Eukaryota; Metazoa; Nematoda; Chromadorea; Rhabditida; Rhabditidae. The record is from Ensembl.
UCUUUUUUUCUUCUUCUGCAGCUGGUUUUAUUGGAUGUCGAUGCAGUAGUAAGAAGAAAGGUAUUCCGAAGAGGAAUUGGAAAGAAAACGAAUAUGAAGAAGAUGAUGGAGAGGUAGAAAAUUGGUAUGAUAUUCGGAAGGA